RNAcentral lists this long non-coding RNA (569 nucleotides) under Trifolium pratense (red clover). RNAcentral describes it as "long non-coding RNA (TPRA_LNC010411)". Lineage: Eukaryota; Viridiplantae; Streptophyta; Magnoliopsida; Fabales; Fabaceae. The record is from RNAcentral.
AGGCAUACAUAAUUAUACUUGUAGACAAUAUUGCUCGUGAGAAAUGUUAAAAAAAGUUUUGAUUAUAGAAUAUGAUUCAUAUAUGGUGGCUUUGACUAUUUGUUCCACGUGUUCUCAUUUUUUGAAAAUUAUGUAUCAAAUAGCAUAUUUUGCUUACUACGUUCUGUAACACCCAAACCCAUUAUUUAUAUAUUUCUACCUUUAGUAAAAUCUUUUUCAAAAUACGCAACGGAAAAUCACAUUUAAUUUAUUGAAUAUUGGUUCGAGUAUUACACUCCUCUAUCAAAAUAAUACUAAAGUAAUUAAUUAGUAAAAACAGUGUUUAUACAAAAUAAUCAUUUCUCAAAAUGUAUAGUUUUACAAAUAAAUAUCGAAAGUCAUAAAGAUCCUAUAGUCUAAAUACAACCCUUUCCCGUGUCACAAUCAGAGCGGAGCUUCAUCGACGACUCGACAUCGAAUACCACAAAAUCCUGUAAAAUCUGGAUCCCCAACGAUCCAGCACAUAACACAUAAAAGAGAGUUAGAAAACAUACUCAAAAUAUACAAGUGUAAGUAAAUGGUACUUAAAC